Molecule: transfer RNA, 86 nt
Rfam family: tRNA
About the family: Transfer RNA (tRNA) molecules are approximately 80 nucleotides in length.
Source: Rfam
UCCUUAUUAGCUCAGUUGGUAGAGCGUUCGGCUUUUAAGUCUAACAAGGAACCGAAAUGUCCAGGGUUCGAGCCCCUGAUGAGGAG